UUAUUUCUCCUUGGUGAAAUCGUUUAAUCCCAAUAAAUCCGUUUAAGCCACUUGCAUUUGACCAACUUAAUUGUCAAGACAUAAAUAUGUACACAUACGUAUUUAAGAGCCGGAGCCAUAAACGCGCAGCCCCCCCAUGUUCAAUAUGUUCAAUCUGGCUGGAUCGGAACGAU
Molecule: small RNA, 173 nt
Filed under: Drosophila pseudoobscura pseudoobscura
Lineage: Eukaryota; Metazoa; Arthropoda; Insecta; Diptera; Drosophilidae
Description: GA31729
Source: RNAcentral